RNAcentral lists this ribosomal RNA (544 nucleotides) under uncultured bacterium. RNAcentral's name for it is "bacterial SSU rRNA". It matches the Rfam family "Bacterial small subunit ribosomal RNA", at positions 355 to 897 of the family's 1533-position model. The record is from RNAcentral.
UGGGGAAUAUUGUNCAAUGGGCGAAAGCCUGAUGCAGCGACGCCGCGUGAGGGAUGGAGGCCUUCGGGUUGUAAACCUCUUUCGCUCAUGGUCAAGCCGCAACGUUUGGUUGUGGUGAGGGUAGUGGGUAAAGAAGCGCCGGCUAACUACGUGCCAGCAGCCGCGGUAAUACGUAGGGCGCGAGCGUUGUCCGGAAUUAUUGGGCGUAAAGGGCUUGUAGGCGGUUGGUCGCGUCUGCCGUGAAAUCCUCUGGCUUAACUGGGGGCGUGCGGUGGGUACGGGCUGACUUGAGUGCGGUAGGGGAGACUGGAACUCCUGGUGUAGCGGUGGAAUGCGCAGAUAUCAGGAAGAACACCGGUGGCGAAGGCGGGUCUCUGGGCCGUUACUGACGCUGAGGAGCGAAAGCGUGGGGAGCGAACAGGAUUAGAUACCCUGGUAGUCCACGCUGUAAACGUUGGGCACUAGGUGUGGGGGCCACCCGUGGUUUCUGCGCCGUAGCUAACGCUUUAAGUGCCCCGCCUGGGGAGUACGGCCGCAAGGUUGA